Molecule: long non-coding RNA, 5900 nt
Filed under: Homo sapiens (human)
Lineage: Eukaryota; Metazoa; Chordata; Mammalia; Primates; Hominidae
Description: non-protein coding LINC00927:37
Source: RNAcentral
AAAAAAAAUUAUAGCAAGGGAAAAAUGAACAAAGAUAAAUGCAGAAACAAAUUUAGCAAGCACAAAAAGAAACAUUCAUGAAUCAGUCCAAGGGCAGAGGCUCUGGAAUGAACCCCUAUGUCUCUGAUUCUACCUUCCUGUCCACUUUUACCUCCAUAGUUGCUCCCCAUUCCCCACCAAUUAUGCUCCAGUAAGAUCCAGCCUCACAGUCAUUUCCUACGUGCACCAUGCUAUUCCCUUUGCCCAAAAUGCCCCUCUCCCCGAGGUUACUUUGGCUUGCAGUUCUGCAGCCUGUACAAGAAGCAAGGCACCUGCAUUUGCUUCUGGUGAUGGCUUCAGGCUGCUUCCACUCAUGGUGGAAGAGGAAGGGGCACCAGUAUGUGCAAAUCACAACAAGGUGAGAGAGAAGGCAGGUGGGGAGAUGCCAGGCUCCCUUUUAACAAUCAGCUCUCAUGGGCACUAGUAGAGUGAAAACUCACUUAUUGCUAUGAGGAUGGCACUGAGCCAUUCAUGAGGGGGUCCACCCUCAUGGCCCUAACACCUCCCUUCAGGCCUCACCUCCAACAUAUGAGUCCUAUCUGUGCCCUUACUUUUUUGGAGUCAGCAUCUAAAAUAGUCACUGCUUUGCUCCAACUGGUGUCUCCAGUAACUUGAUGGGGACAACCUUCAUCUUCUUCCACCUGCUCCAUUCAUGAACCAUGUCUCCUUGUCCUGAAAGGACCAAAGGGUUUCAAUUUUCUUAAGCUGUGCCUCAGUUUCCUCAUCUAUAAAAUGAGCAUAAUAGGAGUACGUACCUUAGUUUAAGAGGACUAAGUAGUUUAUAUGUGACCACAUAUUAACUGAACUCAUUUCAUAUCUCCAACCACCUACACAACAUCUUUAUGUCUAACAGAAUCUUAAGUUUAUUGUGGCAGUAUGGAAACCUUGAUUCUCCACUUCCCAAACCUGCUCUUCCCUGAUGGUUCCUCUUACUGGUUAGUGGCACUGUUGUUCACCCAGCUACUCUGGCCAAAACCUUUGCCUCCUCUCUUUUGCUCACACCCCACAUCCAAUCCCACAGGAGACUGGACCUCUUCUCGCCUCUCCUAUCACAACCCUAGUCCAAGCCAGUAGCCGGUCACCUGGAUUGUGCACUGGACAUUUCCACUCAGUGACAGUAAAUAAAUUAUGCCUGUGGAUGCAUGUCACAAAUAUAAAGUUGAGUGAAAAGUACAAAUUGAAUUUUUCUCCCCCGGGCACGUCUUUGCUGCAAAGGCCCUGGUGGCCGAGACCAAGGCUGGCUGUUUACGUGAGGCCAGCCUUGCAGGUGGGGCAGAGAGGAGGAAAUUUUGUUGUAAGAACUGGGACAAAGUUGGCUUCUGGAACUCCCAAAGAAAAUAUUUUUCUGGCAAGGGGAAUGCAAGGCAAGGCUUCUCUGAUGUGUAACUGAUAGCCUCAGAAGGUGUAAGGUUAAAUAAUGAUCUCAUCAGUAUAACAGGAGCUGGACAGUAUUAAUCAGUGGUCCAAUUCAAAAUAAAGCCACACUGCUAUAAGCAAAGUAAUGAAGGCUUAUUGUGACCUGGGGCUCCUUAAUGACACAGAUUUGAUUCCCACUUAAUGGGCAACUGAAUAAUGCAGCUGAUAGCACAGACCAGUGGGGAAGGCAGACCAGAGGGGUACAGGAGGCUGCCUGGGAUGAGGCAUCUAAAGGCUGUUAUCACAUGUCACAUCAUCAGACCUUGAAUUUGCUAUUAAACAGCAAAUAAGCAAAUAUGCCACUUACAGAAGACCUUUCCAAACUUCAAGGCAUCUACUAAAAUUAUAUUUAUCUCUCUUUGAUAUACCAAUCACGCAACUCUAAACUAUUUAUGCAGAAACUAAUCUACAUAUUAAAUUGUGCCAAUAAAUGUUGUCUUCUCUGUUUAAGUUCUCAGAGGGUGAGGGUCCCACAUCUCCUGCAGGACAGGCCCUAGCUACUGAGUCACAGAAACCCAGGGCCGAAGCAAAGUCCCAAUCCCAGAGAGGCUGGGGCACACCUACAACUGAAAGGAGGCUUAGAAAUCCUUCAGAGACCACCCUAUCGGUUCUCCUCCACCUGGACAGGAUGAGCCAGCAACACAGAAGGAAGAGGCCUUCCUCCGAAAGACAGGUUUCUAAGACAGCCACCGAUGGGUCCUACCUCCUCGUAUUCACAUCCUAUGUAAUCUCCUCCCCAGUGUGGGCUGGACCUGGUGACUUGCUUCCAGUGAAUAGAAUAUAGCAAAAGUGAUUGAUGUCACCUCCAAGAUUCAGCUAUAGAAGACUAUGACUAUGACUUUCCUCUUGGCUAGCAUUCUCGCUAACCCUUCCUGCUUGCUUGUACUGAGCUGCCCUAUGAAGAGGCCCAUGUAGGGUGGCCUGGGUGGGGGUGAUCUGUGGCCAACAGCCAGCAAGGAACUAAAUCCUGUUUACAACCACAUGAGCUUGGAAGGAGUAUAUUUGUAAGCCGAGUUGAAUGCUUUGUGGAGAGAGAUCCCAUUCAGGAGGGCUAAGCUUGAAUCCAGGACUUACUGAGGAGCAAUCACACAGAAAAGGACAGACACUUCGAGGGAAGUACCUCAGAAUGAGAGCCUUGCAUUCAUUUACUUUGGCUCAGUAGCUCCUACUCCUAUAGCAUUUGGGAAGGAAGAAUGAUUGCCUCCAUCCCAUGUAACACAGCUCAUAUUAUACAGAAGGAGAAUGCAAACUUCCUUCUCUCAAGCCUCUAAAGGUGGAAGCAAACCUACCUUACAAACAGCAGGCUUGCUCCUAAUCAGUGCCGUGAAGGGACCAAUGCUGCCUGGUACAUGGAGUCAGUAGGAGGAUGGGCAGAUGGCCACUAGCAUCAGUGACAAUGCAGCCUGGAGUGGAUUCAACAGACAACACAGACUUCCCUUCACUCUCAUCUCUGCCCCCACCAGAGGCACUGAGUCACUGGCUUAACUGAGUCACUGAACCUGGAAGGGACCACGUCCUCCUUCAUUCACUCAUUAUCUCAGUCAGCAUAUACCUCUAUGUGUCAGGCACUGUCAUGGCCGCUGCUCCAGCAAUAGAUAGGACAGGGCCCCUGCCCUCAAGGAGCUUCCAGUCCAGUCAGGGCUACCCCUUCAAUGCCACCCCCCUGCUGGAGAGCCUGGAUCUUGGGUAAGGUUCCACAUCUGUUACUGCUGUAACCUGGUGAUGUCACUUACUCCUCUGUGUCUUGGUUUCUUUAUCUACCUACGUACAGAAUGUAUAUUAGCAAGAUUCGCUAGGUGGUUUAUGUGCACGUUAAAGUUUAAGAAGCACUGCCUGAGAAUCCCUUGGUCCUAAUUAAUUCUUUUCCACACUCAGAUUUGCUAAUGGGUUUCACCUUAUCUCUUGACUCUUGUUUGAUGGCAACAGGAAAUAGUAGCAUUUCAGGAAGGGUGGAAAAUAUAAAAAGCACUCCCAACCCAAGCCUCCAAAAAACAGCAAUUUUCAUUUUGUGUCCAUAUAUUCCCUUCUAAUCAUUGUCCUCAUGCAAGAUUUUUUUUCAUAAAGAUGAUCUGCUACAUAAUUUUAUAUCAUACUCUUUCUCCUAACAUUACAUCACAAGUAUACUUUCAUGUUGCUGCUACAUUCUUCACACUUGUCAUUUUAAUGGCCAUAAAACAUGACAUCUAGUGCACAUAUAUAAUUAUGUAGACUCCUAUUAUUAAAUAUUUGGAUUUCUUCCAUUUUCCCUGUUGUACAUGUUCCAAGCAAAAAAAGAAAGAUCAAGAUAGAUAUGAUGAAGCCGGGGAGCUUGCUUAAGACAGGGGAGAAUAAAUACUUACAGUACACUCUCUCCAUUUAAGAGACACAUGGAGCACAUGGGGGAGGGAGACCUGUCUAAGAACUGGAUCAUAUUAAGGAGAAAAAAGCAACUGGAAUCUCAGGCUUCAGUUGUUGCAUUAUGCUGCUGAAGCAUAGAGGAGAUGGUCCUUUGUGAUCAGAGCGUCUCAACUCGUUUCUGGCAAGCUAAGAUGAACUUUGGGGUUGUGGAUAGAAAGAUAAACUGAUCUGCAAAAGAAAUGCACAGAAGUAUUGAAGGCUAGAAGUUGGCAGACAAGAAAUGAAAAGCAUUUAGAGAAUGGGAGGCCUGUGAAGGUAGCCACAACCCAGGACUUAAGGAGAACACAGGCUGGAGAGGAACUCUCCAAAGCAGAGAAUGGGUGGUGGGUUUUCCAGGCAAUGGUGCCUAGUGGCCAGUUUUAAGUUGUUGCUUGUACUGUGCUCAGCUACACUCCCUUCAUGUUGCCCCAAGCCCUCUCUAAAGUCUGAUAAAUGAUCCACCACUCUGCAGCAGUGGUCUUUGGGACAAUGAAGACACCUCGGUGGUGGGUCACUUAGGGAAAUACAAUCUGGAAGGGGCCAACAGUCCCAGAGACAAGUGGGGUAGCAGAAAUAUGCAGAACCAAGAGUUCAGAGUGAUGGUCACUAGAAGAAAUGUGGCCUCUAAGGAUGCUCAGACAGGUGGAUAUGUAUAGUAGGACCCUAGCUUUACCAUCCUGGCAUAUCAUUCCCAUCAUAGCUAUUUCAUUUUUUUCCAAUUAGUUGCUGAAAUGUCUACAUGUUCUUAUCGAGUUGAAAGAUCAGUGUCUCCCUGUCUCAUUAAAUUUCCAGAACUUCAGAGGCUAAAUCAAUCCAAAAGGGGCUGGCCCUGCUUUCAAACACCAAGUGAAGAGAACUACAAAGUUUGGUGUGUCCACUAGUGUGGUUUCAUACCCCCUAGGUCUUGCUGUUGAGGACUGGUUCUGCCAGGCAUGAUCAAUGACCACCCACAAUGUCCUGUGGCCCAGCCUGUGGAGAGGUGCCCAAACAGAGUUAUCUGGGUCCACAUCCAUGUGCCCAGCUAUUCUGUCCAAUCAUAGCACAAAGACAGGUUGCCUGUGUCCAGAGGGACACACAGCCUCAGGCACACCAGCCCUUACUUAUGAGCUUGAUGGUCAUCAGCAAAGACUCUCUCCCUUUAGGAGGGUUCUCCUUGGGACUUUUCAGUGUCUUGGCAGGAAAGAGAUGGCACACACGAAGCACUGAUUGAAGACAGUUUAAUGAAAGAAUAUUUACAGAGGUUGGGCAAGGGUAUGGAAAACAACAGGGAACAGUAAAACACCCAGGGAUGACAAGGCAAGGUAGCUCAUGUCUGUAAUCUCAGCACUUUGGGAGGCCAACACAGGCAGAUUGCUUGAGCCCAGGAGUUUGAAACCAGCCUGGCAACAUAAGCAAGAAUCUGUUUAUCUACAAAAAAUAAAAUAGCCCUCCAAUCUCCUGUCUGGGUCUUCCAUUGGCCAAAAACAACAGAAGCUAAAGGUCAGGGGACCCUGGGUGAUACGGUCCACAUAGGCAGCACACUGGAGCAAAAGAAGAAAAACCAGCACAAUUCAUCUUAUUACCACUUAGCAGCCAUUCACAAACUUUGCUUAGAUGGGAGAAAAAUAUUUUGUCCCCGGCACAGGGGAAACAUAAAAUCUCACCAGCAGCCAUAUUGUCUGGGGGUGAUAGCAAUUUAGUCCCACUCCCUCCUGCAACUUAAAUCAUAAUGUAGCCAGUCCCGGGUAAGUGGAACACUUCCUGUAAAGCACAACUGCUAGUGCCCCCUUCUGUGGCUGGUCAUGAGGCCCAGAGUGGUAACUGCAGUCUUGUUCUCCCACCACCCAUUCCAUAGCCCCUCUACUUUCUGGCAGUCCCUUAGCUGUUGGAGAAUUUUAUCUGGUGGAAUGACCCAAAUCUUCAUCCACAGAGGAUUCAAAUUCUUAGUGCCGUGUCUUCAAUGAGUUGCCACAGUAUCCACAGAUUCCUAAAGAACAUGAAGAGGCCUUGAAGAUCUCACCUGGAAGCUCUGUAAAAUUAUCAGAAAGAAUAGCAGGUGCUCUAGGGCAACACUACUCAAACUAUGGUCC